RNA transcript from Symphalangus syndactylus (siamang), 4446 nucleotides. It is a transcript of the gene named tRNA splicing endonuclease subunit 2, with no coding region annotated. Lineage: Eukaryota; Metazoa; Chordata; Mammalia; Primates; Hylobatidae. The record is from RefSeq and is a predicted model, not a curated record.
AGACGGCAGCGGUGUCCGCCCUACGGCCGGCGUUGCCGGGGUAACGGCGAGCGCGUGGGGCCAAGAAAAGUAAGGGCCCUGGGCGAGGAACGCGCGGCCCCUGCCAAGUUUGGUGUUUUGCCGCGAAAGGAAAUCUCGCUCUUCCGAAAGUCCUCCGGGCGAGAGAGUAAAGGGCCCAGAAUAUCUCCUCUGAAAAAUGGCAGAAGCAGUUUUCCAUGCCCCAAAGAGGAAAAGAAGAGUGUAUGAGACUUACGAGUCUCCAUUGCCAAUCCCUUUUGGUCAGGACCAUGGUCCUCAGAAAGCAUUCAAGAUAUUCCGUGCUGAAAUGAUUAACAACAAUGUGAUUGUGAGGAAUGCAGAGGACAUUGAGCAGCUCUAUGGGAAAGGUUAUUUUGGAAAAGGUAUUCUUUCAAGAAGCCGUCCAAACUUCACAAUUUCAGAUCCUAAACUGGUUGCUAAAUGGAAAGAUAUAAAGACAAACAUGCCUAUCAUCACAUCAAAGAGGUAUCAGCAUAGUGUUGAGUGGGCAGCAGAGCUGAUGCGUAGACAGGGGCAGGAUGAGAGUACAGUGUGCAGAAUCCUCAAGGAGUACACGAAACCGCUUGAGCAUCCUCCUGUGAAAAGGAAUGAAGAGGCUGUAGUGCAUGACGAGCUUGACUCUGGAAUGGUUUCCAACGUGGAAGGCACAGCAGAGGGAGAGAGACCUUCUGUGGUAAACGGGGACUCUGGAAAGUCAGGUGGUAUGGGUGAUCCCAGUGAACCAUUAGGCUGCCUGCAGGAGGGCUCUGGCUGUGACCCAACAACAGAUGGCUUUGAGAAAAGUGUGGGAGAGGACGCCUCACCUCUGCCUCAAGUCUGUUGCUGCAAACAAGAUGCUCUCAUCCUCCAGCGUGGCCCUCAUCAUGAAGACGGCAGCCAGCACGUCGGCCUCCUGCAUGCUGGGGACAGAGGGCCUGACCAUGAGUACGUGCUGGUCGAGGAAGCGGAGUGUGCCAUGAGCGAGAGAGAGGAUGCCCCAAAUGAGGAAUUGGUGCAAAGAAACAGAUUAAUAUGCAGAAGAAAUCCAUAUAGGAUCUUUGAGUAUUUGCAACUCAGCCUAGAAGAGGCCUUCUUCUUGGUCUAUGCUCUGGGAUGUUUAAGUAUUUACUAUGAGAAGGAGCCUUUAACGAUAGUGAAGCUCUGGAAAGCUUUCACUGUAGUUCAGCCCACGUUCAGAACCACCUACAUGGCCUACCAUUACUUUCGAAGCAAGGGCUGGGUGCCCAAAGUGGGACUCAAGUACGGAACAGAUUUAUUGCUGUAUCGGAAAGGCCCUCCAUUUUACCAUGCAAGUUAUUCUGUCAUUAUCGAGCUAGUUGAUGACCAUUUUGAAGGCUCUCUCCGCAGGCCUUUCAGUUGGAAGUCCCUGGCUGCCCUGAGCAGAGUUUCCGUUAAUGUCUCUAAGGAACUUAUGCUGUGCUAUUUGAUUAAACCCUCUACUAUGACUGGCAAGGAAAUGGAGUCACCAGAAUGUAUGAAAAGGAUUAAAGUUCAGGAGGUGAUUCUGAGUCGAUGGGUUUCUUCACGAGAGAGGAGUGACCAAGACGAUCUUUAACAAUUCAACCUCAAAUUUCUAAUUUCACCAACAACUAUUUAUUGACGGCUAGUUUCUCAUCCCAGUUUCCCCAGCCUCCUGUGAAGGUAUCAGAGAAAGAAGAUAGCCCUCUCUUCAUGUCCUUUCUGAACUCUGCCUUUUCAGUGGGCAGAGGAAGUGCUUUGUAGCAGCAAACCCAACCCCCAAACCUCCGUGUAUCAGGUCAGGCAAAAUGAAAUGGACACAGGCUGGAAUUUUACUAAGUUCAGUCAUUGCUGGGCUCGUUUGUGCAAAUAGACUCAAGAGCUCAUUUAAAAGGAGUGACCAUUUCCUGAUUGAGAUUCUGGGGGGUUUUUGGUUUUGUUUUACUAUUGUUCACUAUCAUGAGCUUACCAUGUGCUUUUUUCUUUUUUUCUUGAGAUGUAGUCUUGCUCUGUCGCCCAGGCUGGAGUCCAGUGCUGCCAUCUUGGCUCACUGCAACCUCUGCCUCCUGGGUUUAAGCGAUUCUCGUGCCUCAGCCUCCCGAGUAGCUGGGAUUAAAGGCACGCGCCACCACGCACAGCUAAUUUUUGUAUUUUUAGUAGAGACGGGGUUUCACCAUGUUGACCAGGCUGGUCUCGAACUCCUGACCUCAAGUGAUCUGCCCGCCUCGGCCUCCCAAAGUGCUGAGAGUACAGGAGUGAGCCACUGCACCCGGCCCUUAGCACGUGCUUUUAAAGUAAAAACCACGAGGGGAAGGUACUCAUUACUUCAUAACUUGUGUCUCACCCACCUUGCUGUCUUCACAUCCCCACUUUCUCUAUGCACAUUGGAAGGUGAAUUUGUUCAGCUCACAUUAAUUUAUAGGAAUAAUUUUCAUUGCUCUGUGAAUAAAAUGUGCUGCCACUUUAUGCUGUAAAUGGAUUCUUAGUUUAAAAACCUCAUUGACGGGAAAAUAAUUUUGUUGGAAUGCAUUUAAUUUUUAAAACCUAGGGCAAUUUUUAUUUUAUGAAGUCUUAUGAUGUAGUAAGCUGACAUAUGCUUGAAGGGAAGCCAUACAUGUUUUUACUUUUUAUUUAUUUUUUGAGAUGGAGUUUUGUUCUUGUUGCCCAGGCUGGAGUGAAAUGGCACGAUCUCAACUCAUCACAACCUCUGCUUCCCGGGUUCAAGCAAUUCUCCUGCUUCAGCCUCCCUAGUAGCUGGGAUUACAGGCAUGUGCCACCAUACCCGGCUAAUUUUGUAUUUUUAGUAGAGACGGGAUUUCUCCAUGUUGGUCAGGCUGGUCUCAAACUCCCGACCUCAGGCGACCCACCCGCCUCAGCCCCCCAAAGUGCUGGGAUUACAGGCGUGAGCUACCACGCCCAGCCCAUACACAUUUUUAUUAACCACAGUUAAAUGCAUUUAGAAAUCCAUAGUACUGAUUAAAGGUAGCAACCACCCUACCCCCAAUGUCCAGGCUGCACUUACAUAGCUCUCAGUACAAACCGCCACCCUCAGGGGGUUGCACCUCCUGCCGGGGACAGUCAGUGACAUAGAAACCAUGCUCCCGUAUCGCCCGGUAGAGUGUGAUGAACUUGGAUGCCAGCCUUGUCCGCGGGACCACGUACUUUUCCGUAAAUUCACCCUUGUCCAGUUGCUGUCUACCUUCUGCCAUCAGAACGCAGUUUAUGAACGUGAGUGUGUAAGUGUAGCAGUUGUGGUGGUCUUCUUCAUACCUUACGGAAGAGAACAAGGGUGUUGAGAAGAAAAGGCUGCUCAGGAACAGGCCGUGAAGCUACCAAAGGCCUUUCCUAACUGAAAUCGGGUGCCUCAGCGAGCAAGGCCCCUGCAUGUGCUGGCUCAGUGGUUAAGAAGCUUCAAGAUGUGCACUUCAGGCCGGGUGCGGUGGCUCACACCUGUAAUCCCAGCACUUUGGGAGGCCAAGGUGGGAGGAUCACUUGAGGUCAGGAGUUCGAAACUGGCCUAGCCAACAUGGUGAAACCCCUGUCUCUACAAAAAAUACGAAAGUUGGCAUGGUGAUGCAAGCCUGUGGUCCCAGCUACUUGGGAGGCUGAGGCAGGAGAAUUGUUUCAACCCGGGAGGCAGAGGUUGCAGUAAGCCAAGGUCGCACCACUGUACUCCAGCCUGGGUGACAGAGUGAGUGAGACUCCAUCUCAAAAAAAAAAAAAAAAAUGCAAUUCUGGGGGAUGCUUGGUCUCUUGGGCCAUUUCUGCUUGAUGCAUAGAUUCACCCAGAUGUUCAGAGUGGUUACUCAGUUGCAAGUUAACUACCAAUUUGGGGAACUUAUUGCACUUCUAGAUUUUAGAGAUGGAAUUCCAUAUGAGUUUUAUGAUAUUCCGUAGUAUCUAAACUUAUUUCAAGGGAAACCUCUAAUUUAAAUCCACAGAUAUGCUGUACAUCUUAUAAAAUGUUGAGAGUGAGAAAUUAACUUGAAAUUGCUAAAAUUACAAAACAGAAGUUUUUACAUUUUGAACAUUGUUUUUUGUGCUUUUUUGGUUUUUUUUGAGACGGAGUCUCAGUCUGCCCAAGCUGGAGUGUAAUGGCGUGAUCUCGGCUCACUGCAACCUCCGCCUCCUGGGUUCAAGUGAUUCUCCUGCCCAAGCCUCCCAAGUAGGGACUACAGAUGACCACCACCAUGCCUGGCUAUUUUUGUAUUUUUAAUAGAGACGGGGUUUUACCAUGUUGUCCAGGCUGGUCUCAAACUUCUGACCUCAGGUGAUCCACCUGCCUCAGUCUCCCAAAGUGCUGGGAUUACAGGCGAGAGCCACAAUGCCCAGCCUGAAUAUUGUUUUUUUUUAAUUUUUAAGGAAAUACAAUAUCGUGACUUGCUAUGUAUAUGUAAAAAUACCUUGUCCCAAAAUUAAAAUAACUGAAUACAGAUUCUAGUCCUUUAA